CUGGUUCGAAUCCAGUAGGGUGUACCAAGCUCACUAAGUUCAUAUGGGUGAACGCCUGCCUUGUAAGCAGGAUGAA
Molecule: transfer RNA, 76 nt
Filed under: unidentified
Description: Shigella phage B2 tRNA-Thr
Source: RNAcentral